UACGUAGGGGGCGAGCGUUGUCCGGAGUUACUGGGCGUAAAGGGCGUGCAGGCGGUGCGGUAAGUUUAGCGUGACAGUCUCCGGCUUAACUGGAGAAGGCCGCUGAAAACUGCUGGACUUGAGGGCCAGAGAGGGACAUAGAAGUUCCGGGUGGAGUGGUGAAAUGCGUAGAUAUCCGGAGGAAUACCAAAGGCGAAGGCAGUGUCCUGGCUGGCAACUGACGCUGAGGCGCGAAAGCUAGGGGAGCGAACAGG
Molecule: ribosomal RNA, 254 nt
Filed under: uncultured bacterium
Lineage: Bacteria
Description: partial 16S ribosomal RNA
Rfam family: Bacterial small subunit ribosomal RNA
Source: RNAcentral